AUGAACGCUAGCGGCAGGCCUAAUACAUGCAAGUCGAACGGUAUACUGAUAUUUAUAUUAGUAGAGAGUGGCGCACGGGUGAGUAACGCGUACACAACCUACCCUUAAUUGGGGGAUAGCCUUUGGAAACGGAGAUUAAUACCCCAUGUAUUUCAUUCAUUGCAUGAUGGAUGGAAAAAAGUUGAAGGCGAUUAAGGAUGGGUGUGCGUUCUAUUAGCUAGAUGGUGAGGUAACGGCUCACCAUGGCGAUGAUAGAUAGGGGGCGUGAGAGCGUGGUCCCCACACGGGUACUGAGACACGGACCCGACUCCUACGGGAGGCAGCAGUAAGGAAUAUUGGACAAUGGGCGCAAGCCUGACCCAGCCAUGCCGCGUGUGCGAAGAAGGCCUUCGGGUUGUAAAGCACUUUCAGCAGCGAAGAAAUGUCGGGGGCUAAUAUCCCUCUGGCUUUGACGUUAACUGCAGAAGAAGUACCGGCUAACUCCGUG
Molecule: ribosomal RNA, 487 nt
Filed under: uncultured bacterium
Lineage: Bacteria
Description: bacterial SSU rRNA
Rfam family: Bacterial small subunit ribosomal RNA
Source: RNAcentral